This 301-nucleotide ribosomal RNA is filed under the name uncultured bacterium. RNAcentral describes it as "partial 16S ribosomal RNA". It matches the Rfam family "Bacterial small subunit ribosomal RNA", at positions 509 to 807 of the family's 1533-position model. The record is from RNAcentral.
CAGUAGCCGCGGGAAUACGAAGGGGGCUAGCGUUGUUCGGAAUUGCUGGGCGUAAAGCGCACGUAGGCGGACAUUUAAGUCAGGGGUGAAAUCCCGGGGCUCAACCCCGGAACUGCCUUUGAUACUGGGUGUCUUGAGUGUGGAAGAGGUCAGUGGAAUUGCGAGUGUAGAGGUGAAAUUCGUAGAUAUUCGCAGGAACACCAGUGGCGAAGGCGGCUGACUGGUCCACAACUGACGCUGAGGUGCGAAAGCGUGGGGAGCAAACAGGAUUAGAUACCCCUGUAGUCCCUGUCUCUUAUAC